This 72-nucleotide transfer RNA is filed under the name Caudoviricetes sp. Its description in RNAcentral is "tRNA-OTHER". It matches the Rfam family "tRNA". Rfam says of the family: Transfer RNA (tRNA) molecules are approximately 80 nucleotides in length. Their secondary structure includes four short double-helical elements and three loops (D, anti-codon, and T loops). The record is from RNAcentral. Lineage: Duplodnaviria; Heunggongvirae; Uroviricota; Caudoviricetes.
UGGAACGUAGCUCAGCGGAGAGAGCAAAAAGCGCCGGCAACGAAGCCGCAGGUUCGAAUCCUGUCGUUCCAA